This 269-nucleotide ribosomal RNA is filed under the name uncultured prokaryote. Its description in RNAcentral is "partial 16S ribosomal RNA". It matches the Rfam family "Bacterial small subunit ribosomal RNA", at positions 524 to 792 of the family's 1533-position model. The record is from RNAcentral.
UACGAAGGGUCCUGGCGUUGUUCGGAAUUACUGGGCUUAAAGAGCACGUAGGCGGGAAGGUAAGUGUCUUGUGAAAGUCCUCGGCUUAACCGAGGAAUUGCAGGGCAUACUGCUUUCCUUGAGGCAGGUAGGGGCGCGUGGAACUCUAGGUGGAGCGGUGAAAUGCGUAGAUAUCUAGAGGAACGCCUGUGGUGAAAACGGCGCGCUGGGCCUGGUCUGACGCUGAGGUGCGAAAGCGUGGGUAGCGAACAGGAUUAGAUACCCCUGUA